Molecule: long non-coding RNA, 801 nt
Organism: Mus musculus (house mouse)
Lineage: Eukaryota; Metazoa; Chordata; Mammalia; Rodentia; Muridae
Product: predicted gene 4719
Exons: 4
Source: RefSeq, marked validated
ACACUUCACACAAAACAAGCCUGUUGGUAGUCACCCUUUAGAUGUGUAUAGGAGAGAAUACAUGCAGGUAGAAGUCAAUGGGUUUGCAGGUGACAUUGUAUAUCAGCAUCAUUGUGGCAGUAGAUAAUAUGCACAUGUUGGUAAAUAAUUAGUGCCUUCUCUGAGCAUGAGGAAGCUAGAAGAGCAGUGGAAGAAUUAAAACUUACCAGAAUUGCCAAUCUCCCACAGUGUGACCUGCUCCAGAGUGCAGGGAAGUUGAAAGGAGGCUAAAGAAGUUUGUGACAGGAAGGGACACACAUGGAGGAGAGGCAAGAAUUAAUCAUCUUGUGUGCUGAGAGAUACCUGGGAAAUAAUCUAUACACAAGGGGCAGGUCCAUAUUUGUGGAGGUCAGUGGACAAUAUUUGGAGUUGCUUCUUACAUUGCACCUUGUUGAAGGAAGGCCUCUCAUUUCUGCUAGCCUAUGAACUUCCAUCUGAUUCCCCAAUCUCUACCUCCUAUCACUAGGUAGGAGUGCUGGGAUGAUAAACUUUCCCAACAACAUCUGUGUUCCAUAGACUGAAGGGUUGUCAGGUUUGUGUAGCCUUUUUCACACAGAGCCAUCUCCUCAGUUCCCCAAAGUCAAGACUUACGAAGAAGCAUGAAGAUACAGGACAAUGACUGGUAAAGCAAUUAAAGAAUCAUUACAAACUGUGGUUCAUACUUUAGAAUUAGUAUAGAGGCUGAGAUUCUGUUACUGUAAGAUCCUGACCUUUGUUGCAUACGGCAAUGAACUAAAAUAAUAAAAUGCGAAUUGCCAGUGU